This 2923-nucleotide ribosomal RNA is filed under the name Escherichia coli. Its description in RNAcentral is "23S ribosomal RNA". It matches the Rfam family "Bacterial large subunit ribosomal RNA". Lineage: Bacteria; Pseudomonadati; Pseudomonadota; Gammaproteobacteria; Enterobacterales; Enterobacteriaceae. The record is from RNAcentral.
GGGUUGUGAGGUUAAGCGACUAAGCGUACACGGUGGAUGCCCUGGCAGUCAGAGGCGAUGAAGGACGUGCUAAUCUGCGAUAAGCGUCGGUGAGGUGAUAUGAACCGUUAUAACCGGCGAUUUCCGAAUGGGGAAACCCAGUGUGUUUCGACACACUAUCAUUAACUGAAUCCAUAGGUUAAUGAGGCGAACCGGGGGAACUGAAACAUCUAAGUACCCCGAGGAAAAGAAAUCAACCGAGAUUCCCCCAGUAGCGGCGAGCGAACGGGGAGGAGCCCAGAGCCUGAAUCAGUGUGUGUGUUAGUGGAAGCGUCUGGAAAGGCGCGCGAUACAGGGUGACAGCCCCGUACACAAAAAUGCACAUACUGUGAGCUCGAUGAGUAGGGCGGGACACGUGGUAUCCUGUCUGAAUAUGGGGGGACCAUCCUCCAAGGCUAAAUACUCCUGACUGACCGAUAGUGAACCAGUACCGUGAGGGAAAGGCGAAAAGAACCCCGGCGAGGGGAGUGAAAAAGAACCUGAAACCGUGUACGUACAAGCAGUGGGAGCCUCUUAAUGGGGUGACUGCGUACCUUUUGUAUAAUGGGUCAGCGACUUAUAUUCUGUAGCAAGGUUAACCGAAUAGGGGAGCCGAAGGGAAACCGAGUCUUAACUGGGCGUUAAGUUGCAGGGUAUAGACCCGAAACCCGGUGAUCUAGCCAUGGGCAGGUUGAAGGUUGGGUAACACUAACUGGAGGACCGAACCGACUAAUGUUGAAAAAUUAGCGGAUGACUUGUGGCUGGGGGUGAAAGGCCAAUCAAACCGGGAGAUAGCUGGUUCUCCCCGAAAGCUAUUUAGGUAGCGCCUCGUGAAUUCAUCUCCGGGGGUAGAGCACUGUUUCGGCAAGGGGGUCAUCCCGACUUACCAACCCGAUGCAAACUGCGAAUACCGGAGAAUGUUAUCACGGGAGACACACGGCGGGUGCUAACGUCCGUCGUGAAGAGGGAAACAACCCAGACCGCCAGCUAAGGUCCCAAAGUCAUGGUUAAGUGGGAAACGAUGUGGGAAGGCCCAGACAGCCAGGAUGUUGGCUUAGAAGCAGCCAUCAUUUAAAGAAAGCGUAAUAGCUCACUGGUCGAGUCGGCCUGCGCGGAAGAUGUAACGGGGCUAAACCAUGCACCGAAGCUGCGGCAGCGACACUAUGUGUUGUUGGGUAGGGGAGCGUUCUGUAAGCCUGUGAAGGUGUACUGUGAGGUAUGCUGGAGGUAUCAGAAGUGCGAAUGCUGACAUAAGUAACGAUAAAGCGGGUGAAAAGCCCGCUCGCCGGAAGACCAAGGGUUCCUGUCCAACGUUAAUCGGGGCAGGGUGAGUCGACCCCUAAGGCGAGGCCGAAAGGCGUAGUCGAUGGGAAACAGGUUAAUAUUCCUGUACUUGGUGUUACUGCGAAGGGGGGACGGAGAAGGCUAUGUUGGCCGGGCGACGGUUGUCCCGGUUUAAGCGUGUAGGCUGGUUUUCCAGGCAAAUCCGGAAAAUCAAGGCUGAGGCGUGAUGACGAGGCACUACGGUGCUGAAGCAACAAAUGCCCUGCUUCCAGGAAAAGCCUCUAAGCAUCAGGUAACAUCAAAUCGUACCCCAAACCGACACAGGUGGUCAGGUAGAGAAUACCAAGGCGCUUGAGAGAACUCGGGUGAAGGAACUAGGCAAAAUGGUGCCGUAACUUCGGGAGAAGGCACGCUGAUAUGUAGGUGAAGCGACUUGCUCGUGGAGCUGAAAUCAGUCGAAGAUACCAGCUGGCUGCAACUGUUUAUUAAAAACACAGCACUGUGCAAACACGAAAGUGGACGUAUACGGUGUGACGCCUGCCCGGUGCCGGAAGGUUAAUUGAUGGGGUUAGCGGUAACGCGAAGCUCUUGAUCGAAGCCCCGGUAAACGGCGGCCGUAACUAUAACGGUCCUAAGGUAGCGAAAUUCCUUGUCGGGUAAGUUCCGACCUGCACGAAUGGCGUAAUGAUGGCCAGGCUGUCUCCACCCGAGACUCAGUGAAAUUGAACUCGCUGUGAAGAUGCAGUGUACCCGCGGCAAGACGGAAAGACCCCGUGAACCUUUACUAUAGCUUGACACUGAACAUUGAGCCUUGAUGUGUAGGAUAGGUGGGAGGCUUUGAAGUGUGGACGCCAGUCUGCAUGGAGCCGGCCUUGAAAUACCACCCUUUAAUGUUUGAUGUUCUAACGUUGGCCCCUGACCGGGGUUGCGGACAGUGUCUGGUGGGUAGUUUGACUGGGGCGGUCUCCUCCUAAAGAGUAACGGAGGAGCACGAAGGUUGGCUAAUCCUGGUCGGACAUCAGGAGGUUAGUGCAAUGGCAUAAGCCAGCUUGACUGCGAGCGUGACGGCGCGAGCAGGUGCGAAAGCAGGUCAUAGUGAUCCGGUGGUUCUGAAUGGAAGGGCCAUCGCUCAACGGAUAAAAGGUACUCCGGGGAUAACAGGCUGAUACCGCCCAGAGUUCAUAUCGACGGCGGUGUUUGGCACCUCGAUGUCGGCUCAUCACAUCCUGGGGCUGAAGUAGGUCCCAAGGGUAUGGCUGUUCGCCAUUUAAAGUGGUACGCGAGCUGGGUUUAGAACGUCGUGAGACAGUUCGGUCCCUAUCUGCCGUGGGCGCUGGAGAACUGAGGGGGCUGCUCCUAGUACGAGAGGACCGGAGUGGACGCAUCACUGGUGUUCGGGUUGUCAUGCCAAUGGCACUGCCCGGUAGCUAAAUGCGGAAGAGAUAAGUGCUGAAAGCAUCUAAGCACGAAACUUGCCCCGAGAUGAGUUCUCCCUGACUCCUUGAGAGUCCUGAAGGAACGUUGAAGACGACGACGUUGAUAGGCCGGGUGUGUAAGCGCAGCGAUGCGUUGAGCUAACCGGUACUAAUGAACCGUGAGGCUUAACCUUACAACGCCGAAG